Molecule: unclassified non-coding RNA, 244 nt
Filed under: Hevea brasiliensis (rubber tree)
Lineage: Eukaryota; Viridiplantae; Streptophyta; Magnoliopsida; Malpighiales; Euphorbiaceae
Source: RNAcentral
GAAGAAUUUAAUUGUCUUUCUUUUGAGAUUAUUACAGGGAUCCAAAUGCCUCAUGGUACAAACUUUGUAUGUGGCUUGCCCCACUCAUAAUCAUGCAAAUGGAACUCUUUGAUGAUUCCUUUGUAAACCAAUAUCGGGGUGGAGAUACCGAAGAUACCUACAAGCUCCAAAUUUCGGCUACUCAAACGAAAGUUAUUCUCCAUUGAGGCUCCCCAUUCCCUGAUCCACUCGUUCUUGUUGUAUU